This is an RNA transcript of Fragaria vesca subsp. vesca, 2171 nucleotides long. It is a transcript of the gene named ABC transporter B family member 26, chloroplastic-like, with no coding region annotated. Lineage: Eukaryota; Viridiplantae; Streptophyta; Magnoliopsida; Rosales; Rosaceae. The record is from RefSeq and is a predicted model, not a curated record. The transcript has 19 exons.
AUGGAGCUACUCCACUCCAGUCUUGGCUCUCCGAUCCCCAGCCACUCCCCCGCUCUAUCUACAAAACCGAAUCCCCAAAUUCCAUUCCACAUUAGCACCACCGUCGCGUCAAAACGACGCCGCUUCGGCGUCCGAAAUGACGCGCGCCGGUUUUUCUUUUCGCCGGAAACCGACACUCGUGCUCCGGCGAAGGCGGUCGUCGGUUGGUGGAGCUUAGUCGAGCGCGUUGUAGAGGAGAAAGAGGAAAACACUGCGGCGAAGGCGAAGCCUGUAACGGUUCUGCGUGCUCUUCAUCGAAUGUGGAAUUUGAUCGAGGCUGAGAGAUGGAUUGUGUUCGUUGCUUUUGGUUCAAUGAUCAUCGCCGCGUUUUCGGAGAUCUCAAUACCGCGGAUAUUGACGGAGUCUGUGUUUUGUGCUCAAAGUGGAGAUGCUGUGGUGUUCUUCAGGAAACUCCAAGAUUUUAGCAUUGUUGUGUUUCACUUCAGGGAUAUGUAGCGGCCUGCGGAGUGGUUGUUUUGGGAUUGCAAACAUUAUAAUGGUUAAGCGCCUCAGGGAAACCCUAUACGCGGUUGUUCUUGUCCAGGUUUGAUAUAUUUUUGACAGAGAAUCAGUUGGUGAUUUGACAAGCAGACUUGGGGCAGAUUGUCAACGAUUAUCGCUUGUCAUUGCAAAUGAUAUUAAUUUGAUAUUACGUAAUGGGCUUCAGGGAACUGGUGCGCUGAUCAAUCUUCUCAUAUUAUCUUGGCCUCUUGCAUUAUCAGCACUAGUGAUAUGUGGUGUCUUAUCUGUGGUUUUUCUUCUUUAUAGCAAGUACCAAAAGAAAGCUGCAAAAUUAACCCAAGACUUCACUGCUGGGGCCAACGAAGUUGCACAGGAGACACUUUCUCUUAUGAGAACAGUCCGGGUUUUUGGAACAGAAAGAAAAGAAAUUGGAAGGUUCAAGGGAUGGCUAGACAAGGUAGCGUUUAUAAACAUUCGGGAAAGUAUGGCUCAUGGGUUCUGGAGUAUGAGUUUCAUUACUCUGUAUCGGUCAACACAGGUUAUUGCCGUGGUGUUAGGAGGCAUUUCUAUUAUGAGUAGUCGUGUAUCACCUGAGCAAUUAACUAAGUAUGUACUGUACUGUGAGUGGUUAAUUUACGCAACUUGGAGGGUAACAGACAAUUUAUCAUCAUUAGUCCAGUCUGUUGGAGCAAGCGAAAAAGUUCUCCAGUGGAUGGACUUGCUGCCCAGCGACCAGUUCAUAUCAAAAGGUGCAAAGAUGCAGAAGAUAAUGGGACACAUUCAGUUCGUAGACGUUUCUUUUCACUAUCCUUCUAGGGAAACUGUCCCCAUUCUAGAGGACAUAAAUGUUUCCAUACAAGCAAAUGAAGUGGUCGCAAUUGUUGGUCUGAGUGGUAGUGGAAAAAGCACAUUAAUCAAUCUGUUGCUUCGUCUUUACGAACCGACAAAUGGUCACAUUAAUAUCAAUGGGUUCCCUAUCCGAGAGUUGGAUAUCAGGUGGCUGAGAGAGAAAGUUGGAUAUGUGGCACAGGAACCAAAUUUAGUUCACAUGACCAUCAAGUCGAACAUUACAUAUGGUUGCUCCGAAGAUAUUAAGGAGGAAGAUAUAAAAUCGGCUGCAAAGCAAGCAUAUGCUCAUAAUUUCAUCUCAUCUCUUCCUGAUGGGUAUGAUACCGUAGUCGAUAAUAACUUACUCAGCGGUGGACAAAAGCAGCGGAUUGCGAUAGCUAGGGCCAUUCUUAGAGACCCAGCUAUAUUAAUCCUUGAUGAAGCUACCAGUGCCUUAGAUGCUGAAGCCGAAAACCACAUUAAGGGGGUUUUUCAGGCAAUGAGGAAUGAUGUUAAAGCAAGGAGAACCAUCAUUGUCAUUGCACACAGACUUUCAACCAUAGAAGCUGCUGACAGAAUCGUUGUAAUGGACAAAGGCCGAGUCACUGAGAUGGGUGAGCAUGCAGAGCUCCUCAAGAAGGAUGGGUUGUAUACAAAAUUGAUAAGAGCUCAAACAAAUGUUUUGGCUUGAUUGUCUUCUGCUAAAACCGAAUUUUGGCAUAUUGAAGAUUAUUUUUCACUAUCAUCUCCCAUUUGUGUACAUCUGAUAUCUGAUUGGUGUGAAACAAUAUUCAGCAUUGAAUGCAGUAAUGAACUCAUGAGAAUCUGGUAUUUUCAACUUC